Molecule: ribosomal RNA, 279 nt
Filed under: uncultured bacterium
Lineage: Bacteria
Description: partial 16S ribosomal RNA
Rfam family: Bacterial small subunit ribosomal RNA
Source: RNAcentral
UGCCAGCCGCCGCGGUAAUACAUAGGGUGCAAGCGUUGCUCGGAAUCACUGGGCGUAAAGCGUACGCAGGCGGUCUAGUAAGUUGGGUGUGAAAGCCCGGGGCUCAACCCCGGAACUGCAUUCAAAACUGCUAAACUUGAGUACGAGAGAGGAGAGCGGAAUUCCUGGUGUAGAGGUGAAAUUCGUAGAUAUCAGGAGGAACACCCGUGGCGAAAGCGGCUCUCUGGCUCGGUACUGACGCUCAUGUACGAAAGCGUGGGGAGCAAACAGGAUUAGAUA